GGUGAAGAGGAGCUUGCUCCUUGGAUCAGUGGCGAACGGGUGAGUAACACGUGAGCAAUCUGCCCUUGACUCUGGGAUAACUGCGGGAAACUGUAGCUAAUACCGGAUAUUACCUUGGAAGGCAUCUUCUGGGGUGGAAAGAAUUUUGGUCAAGGAUGAGCUCGCGGCCUAUCAGCUAGUUGGUGAGGUAAUGGCUCACCAAGGCGACGACGGGUAGCCGGCCUGAGAGGGUGACCGGCCACACUGGGACUGAGACACGGCCCAGACUCCUACGGGAGGCAGCAGUGGGGAAUAUUGCACAAUGGGCGCAAGCCUGAUGCAGCAACGCCGCGUGAGGGACGACGGCCUUCGGGUUGUAAACCUCUUUUAGUAGGGAAGAAGCGACUGGGUUUUCCUGGGAGUGACGGUACCUGCAGAAAAAGCACCGGCUAACUACGUGCCAGCAGCCGCGGUAAUACGUAGGGUGCAAGCGUUGUCCGGAAUUAUUGGGCGUAAAGAGCUCGUAGGCGGUUUGUCGCGUCUGCUGUGAAAACCCGAGGCUCAACCUCGGGCCUGCAGUGGGUACGGGCAGACUAGAGUGCGGUAGGGGAGAUUGGAAUUCCUGGUGUAGCGGUGGAAUGCGCAGAUAUCAGGAGGAACACCAAUGGCGAAGGCAGAUCUCUGGGCCGUAACUGACGCUGAGGAGCGAAAGCAUGGGGAGCGAACAGGAUUAGAUACCCUGGUAGUCCAUGCCGUAAACGUUGGGAACUAGAUGUGGGGACCAUUCCACGGUCUCCGUGUCGCAGCUAACGCAUUAAGUUCCCCGCCUGGGGAGUACGGCCGCAAGGCUAAAACUCAAAGGAAUUGACGGGGGCCCGCACAAGCGGCGGAGCAUGCGGAUUAAUUCGAUGCAACGCGAAGAACCUUACCAAGGCUUGACAUAUACCGGAAACGCCCAGAAAUGGUCGCCCCGCAAGGUCGGUAUACAGGUGGUGCAUGGUUGUCGUCAGCUCGUGUCGUGAGAUGUUGGGUUAAGUCCCGCAACGAGCGCAACCCUCGUCCUAUGUUGCCAGCACGUAAUGGUGGGAACUCAUGGGAUACUGCCGGGGUCAACUCGGAGGAAGGUGGGGAUGACGUCAAAUCAUCAUGCCCCUUAUGUCUUGGGCUUCACGCAUGCUACAAUGGCCGGUACAAAGGGCUGCGAUACCGCAAGGUGGAGCGAAUCCCAAAAAGCCGGUCUCAGUUCGGAUUGAGGUCUGCAACUCGACCUCAUGAAGUCGGAGUCGCUAGUAAUCGCAGAUCAGCAACGCUGCGGUGAAUACGUUCCCGGGCCUUGUACACACCGCCCGUCAAGUCAUGAAAGUCGGUAACACCCGAAGCCAGUGGCCGAACCCGUAAGG
Molecule: ribosomal RNA, 1379 nt
Filed under: Cryobacterium luteum
Lineage: Bacteria; Bacillati; Actinomycetota; Actinomycetes; Micrococcales; Microbacteriaceae
Description: bacterial SSU rRNA
Rfam family: Bacterial small subunit ribosomal RNA
Source: RNAcentral